Amphiprion ocellaris (clown anemonefish) is the source of this 621-nucleotide long non-coding RNA. The record is from Ensembl. NCBI's taxonomy places the organism in Eukaryota, Metazoa, Chordata, Actinopteri, Pomacentridae.
GCUGAAGCCACGCCCCCUUCCGGUUGCUCGCCCUGGUUUGUUACCGGUGUUUAGAACUUCCGGCGUGUUAUCUUGAUUGGCGUCGGGUAGCUACGUUUAGUGUUACCAACGGAAGCUACAGCGGCUGGAGCGGCUCCUGACGUGCUCUCCCUUGUGUGUAUGUGUGUGUGUGCCACGCAGCUGCCCAGAGAGGCUGAGCACCUGUGGCAGGGAACGUGGUGUCGUCGGUGGUGGUAUCCCUCCCCGUGUGAUGUGUGAACCCUGGGUAUUUUUCAUUUAAUCCAUCGUGUGUGUGUGUGUGUGUGUGUGUGUGUGUGUGUGUGUGUGUGUGUGUGUGUGUGUGUGUGUGUGUGUGUGUGUGUGUGUGUGUGUGUGUGAUUUUAUUCACCUGGUGACCUCUCCCUGGGCCCUGUUCCUCCCCUCCGGUGAUACAUCCGGCCACGUGGCUCAGUUCUGGAAGCUGGUUUAUUGGAAGAUCUGAGAGACUUUAACAAACUGGACCAGAACAUCUCCAGAACAGCAGGAGUUCUGCAGCGACUCCAGGCCUCAACCAAUCACAGCUGUUCUGGGUGCAGAGAACUCAUGGAUCUGAGAGACAACACGAUGCAGAGCUACUGUCGG